Molecule: ribosomal RNA, 459 nt
Filed under: uncultured bacterium
Lineage: Bacteria
Description: partial 16S ribosomal RNA
Rfam family: Bacterial small subunit ribosomal RNA
Source: RNAcentral
CCUACGGGAGGCAGCAGUGAGGAAUAUUGGUCAAUGGCCGAGAGGCUGAACCAGCGAAGUCGCGUGAGGGAAGAAGGCUCUACGGGUUGUAAACCUCUUUUGUCGGGGAGCAAAGUGAACCACGUGUGGCUCAUUGAGAGUACCCGAAGAAAAAGCAUCGGCUAACUCCGUGCAAGCAGCCGCGGUAAUACGGAGGAUGCGAGGGUUAUCCGGAUUUAUGGGGUUUAAAGGGUGCGCAGGCGGGGGUAAAAGUUAGCGGUCAACUUGCGGGGCUCAACCCCGGACUGCCGUUGAAACUGCAUCCCUUGAGUGCGCGAGAAGUAUGCGGAAUGCGUGGGGUAGCGGUGAAAUGCAUAGAUAUCGCGCAGAACUCCCAUUGCGAAGGCAGCAUACCGGCGCGCAACUGACGCUCAUGCACGAAAGCGUGGGUAUCGAACAGGAUUAGAUACCCCUGUAGUC